Molecule: ribosomal RNA, 450 nt
Filed under: uncultured Diversispora
Lineage: Eukaryota; Fungi; Glomeromycota; Glomeromycetes; Diversisporales; Diversisporaceae
Description: SSU rRNA
Rfam family: Eukaryotic small subunit ribosomal RNA
Source: RNAcentral
AGCAGCCGCGGUAAUUCCAGCUUCAAUAGCGUAUAUUAAAGUUGUUGCAGUUAAAAAGCUCGUAGUUGAACUUCGGGAUUUGCCCAUUGGUCAGGCUUAACUGUCUGCACUGGUGUGACGAGUUCCUACCUUCUGAGGAAUCUCCAUGUCAUUCAGUUGGUGUGGGGGGAAAUCAGGACUGUUACUUUGAAAAAUUAGAGUGUUUAAAGCAGGCAUCCGUCUGAAUACAUUAGCAUGGAAUAAUAAAAUAGGACGGUUUGGUUCUAUUUUGUUGGUUUCUAGGAUCACCGUAAUGAUUAAUAGGGAUAGUUGGGGGCAUUAGUAUUCAAUUGUCAGAGGUGAAAUUCUUGGAUUUAUUGAAGACUAACUACUGCGAAAGCAUUUGCCAAGGAUGUUUUCAUUAAUCAAGAACGAAAGUUAGGGGAUCGAAGACGAUCAGAUACCGUCGUA